AUGGAUCUGGCAACGGGCGCCAUUGGCACCCUGCUCCCCAAGCUGCUGGAGCUCCUCGGCGAGGAGUAUAAGCUGCAGAAAGGCGUAAGGGAAGGCGUCAAGUCUCUCGAGAAAGAGAUGAGGAGCAUGCACGCUGCCCUCCGCAAAGUGGCGGAGGUGCCACGGGAGCAGCUCGACGAGCAGGUCAAGCUCUGGGCGGGGGAGGUGAGAGAGUUGUCCUUUGACAUGGAGGACGUCGUCGACAAGUUCCUGGUGCAUGUCGAUGAGGGUUCUGAGCCUGCAGCAAACUCUAACAAGCUCAAGCGGCUCACGAAGAAGAUGGCCGGCUUGUUCACCAAGGGGAAGGCUCGCCAUGAGAUCGCUGACGCGAUCAAGGACAUCAAUAAGCAAGUCCAAGAUGUUGCUGAAAGGCGUGCAAGGUACAAUGUCGACAAUACCAUCGCUAACCUCCCUACUGUGACUUCCAUCGAUCCUCGCCUUGGGGCUAUGUACACGGAAGCAACAGGGCUUGUUGGAAUUGCCGAAGCAAGGGAUCAAGAGAUAAUGAAGUUGCUCUCGGAGGGGGAUGACAUGUCCAAGAAGAAUUUGAAGAUUGUCUCUGUUGUCGGAUUCGGAGGAUUGGGCAAGACCACUCUUGUCAAAUCGGUCUUUGAGAAGAUCGGAGGUGAUUACCACUGCAAGGAUUUUGUUCCUGUCGGUCGAAAGGCUGAGGAAAAGACGGUUUUCACAAAUAUCCUUCUUAAUCUUGGCAUGAAUGGAAGUGAGCUCAUCAUGUUCAAUGAGCAACUGCUCAUCGACAAACUCCGGGAAUUUCUCAAGAACAAGAGGUACCUCAUUGUAAUUGAUGACAUAUGGGAUGAAGAACUGUGGACAGUUAUCAAGUGUGCAUUCUCUAGUAGUAACAAUUUUGGCAGUCGGCUAAUCACAACAACUCGUAUAGUCAGUGUAUCUGAAUCAUGCUGCUCGUCUACUAAUGAUUCAAUUUACACAAUGGAACCUCUUAGUGAUGAUGAUUCCAAAAGGUUGUUUUAUAAACGGAUAUUUUCUCUAGAGAGUGGAUGUCCUCCUGAAUUUCAAGAAGUAUCUAGAGAUAUAUUGAAGAAAUGUGGUGGUGUUCCAUUGGCCAUCAUUACCAUGUCUAGUCUUUUGGCUAGUGGUCAGGAGGUAAAACCUAAGAAUGAGUGGCACGUUUUGCUAGAGUCUAUUGGUCGUGGACUUACUGAAAACCGUAGUGCCAAGGAGAUGCUGAGGAUACUAUCAUUUAGUUAUUAUGACCUUCCUUCACAUCUGAAGACAUGCUUAUUAUAUCUAAGCUUGUUUCCGGAAGAUAGCAAGAUCAUGAAACAUCAGUUGAUAUGGAUGUGGAUUGCAGAAAGCUUUGUCCAAUGUGGGAAAGCAAAUACUAGUCUCUUUGAGGUCGGAGAAACUUACUUCAAUGAGCUUGUGAACAGAAGCUUAAUCCAGCCGGUAUAUGACGAUUAUGGCUCAGUACAUGCUUGUCGUGUACAUGAUAGUGUACUUGAUCUAAUUUGCUCCUUGUCAAGUGAACAGAACUUUGCUACUAUAGUGAAUGGUACUAGUGAUAACAUGUCUUCUCAGGGCAAAGUCCGCAGGUUAUCCCUCCAAAAUUGUACCAUGCCUCGCAUAUAUGAGAGUAUAGGACAAGUGAGGUCUGUUGUUACAUUUAAACCUGCUAUUGAUCUAAUGCCACCAUUCUCGAGCUUUGUUGUUUUGCGUGUAUUAGAUUUGGAGUUGUAUGAAUAUGGUGGUGCUAAGGAGGACCAUCUCAACCUUCAAGAGUUGGGGAGUUUGCUUCACUUGAGGUACCUACGUCUAUUUGGAAGAAGAACUGUUGAGUUGCCGGAAGAGAUUGGAAAGUUACAGUUUUUGCAGGUGUUGGUUUUGCCUGGACGUACAAGACUGCCGGCAACUGUGAUUAAGCUCACAAGAUUAAUGUACCUACUGAUUGAUGGUGGGAGGUUCCCACCUCCAGAUGGUGUUGGAAACCUGAGAUUAGUGGAAGUGUUGAAUACGAUCAAAGUUGGCUCUGUAAACAUUGCAAAAGAGUUGGGCAACAUGGACAGACUGAGGGAGCUUAAUAUUGAGUUUGAGAGCUCGGAGCCCGUGGAAGCUUUUGUGGAGUCGCUAGGAAAAAUGCAAAUGAUCCAGCGUCUAAUAAUCUGUGCCGACUGUGAGAACGAAGUUUCAAUGGAUCUGUUGGGGGAACGUUGGGUGCCCCCUGCAAGUCUCAGGGAGUUUAUCAUGCUCAUAGGCGUCAGAUUAUCUACGCUGCCAGCAUGGAAUCCAUAUCAUCUGUCACAACUCUUCAAAUUAUUAAUAAGUGUGGGGGAUGUGCGACAGGAGGAUCUGGGAUUCCUUGGAAGGCUACCGGCUCUUCGGGUUCUCUGGUUAUGGAGCGACAACCAAAGGCCGCUAGUUGUCGGCGCUGAGGGGUUCCGUUGUUUGGAAAAGUUCGUCUUGUUUUCCAACUCGCCGAGCCAAAUAUUGUUCCAGCCAGGAGCUAUGCCCAAGGCCAAAGAAGUUGACUUCAAAAUCGGUUUGCGGGUGGCAAAAGAGGAAGCAGCUGGCAACGGUGGUGAUUGGUUUGACCUGGGCAUGGAGAACCUUCCGUCCCUUCGGAAAGUCAAAGUCGAGUUCUUCCGUUCGGGAGUGACGGUCGGGGAGGCCAAGCAAGCACAGGCUGCGCUGCAGGACGCCGUCCUUGCCCAUCCUAACGGUCCCAGCUUUCUGAUCCGCUUCGACGAGGACAUACCAGAAGAUGAUAGUGAUGAGGACGUCGACUGCAACGAGGGCGAAGAGUCGGAGUGA
RNAcentral lists this ribosomal RNA (2829 nucleotides) under Triticum aestivum (bread wheat). RNAcentral's name for it is "partial small subunit ribosomal RNA". The record is from RNAcentral. Lineage: Eukaryota; Viridiplantae; Streptophyta; Magnoliopsida; Poales; Poaceae.